AGAGUUGAUUAUGGCUCAGGAUGAACGCUGGCGGCGUGCCUAACACAUGCAAGUCGAACGGGAACUCCUAAAUGAAGGUUCGCUGGAUUUAGGAAAUUCUAGUGGCGGACGGGUGAGUAACGCGUGGGUAACCUGCCCUUAAGAGGGGAAUAACAUUGAGAAAUCAGUGCUAAUACACCAUAUGCUUACAGUGUCGCAUGACACAGUGAGGAAAUGAAUUUCGCUUAAGGAUGGACCCGCGUUUGAUUAGCCAGUUGGCAGGGUAACGGCCUACCAAAGCAACGAUCAAUAGCCGGCCUGAGAGGGUGAACGGCCACAUUGGAACUGAGACACGGUCCAAACUCCUACGGGAGGCAGCAGUGGGGAAUAUUGCACAAUGGGGGAAACCCUGAUGCAGCGACGCCGCGUGAGUGAUGAAGUAUUUCGGUAUGUAAAGCUCUAUCAGCAGGGAAGAUCAUGACGGUACCUGACUAAGAAGCUCCGGCUAAAUACGUGCCAGCAGCUGC
This 506-nucleotide ribosomal RNA is filed under the name uncultured bacterium. Its description in RNAcentral is "bacterial SSU rRNA". It matches the Rfam family "Bacterial small subunit ribosomal RNA", at positions 8 to 518 of the family's 1533-position model. The record is from RNAcentral.